This 107-nucleotide non-coding RNA is filed under the name Paramoeba aestuarina. The record is from RNAcentral. Lineage: Eukaryota; Discosea; Flabellinia; Dactylopodida; Paramoebidae.
GAUCUACAGAAAGAGGGGGAUGGAGGACCCUUAUCAAUGAAAUCAUUCUCUCGCUCCACUUCUUUAACCAUGAACAAAUCAUCUGUACAACAUCAACAUCAACAACA